RNAcentral lists this unclassified non-coding RNA (979 nucleotides) under Hevea brasiliensis (rubber tree). The record is from RNAcentral. Lineage: Eukaryota; Viridiplantae; Streptophyta; Magnoliopsida; Malpighiales; Euphorbiaceae.
AAACAUUGUGAAUUGGCAGGAUCCAACGAUAUGUACAAAGGUUAAAGAAUCUGUCCAUCUCAUAGUUCUUACAAAAGAAACCCACAAUCCAUGAUUGGGUUAGGAGAAGAAAAAAACACUCAUACCUAAUUAAUCAACGCUACAAAAAACCAAAAAAUGGUAUUUUCUGGCGUAAGAAAUCCCAUUUCAUGGAUGAUGCUCAAUUGUGGUGAUAGGAUCAAAUAGGAGAGGCAGAGGUGAAGCCAAACUUAUCAGAAAGCUUGGUUCGUGUAAAUGGUGAAAGAAGCUCCAUUUGAUGGAUAAAAUGCACAUCAUGAACUAAUGGAUUUUCUGUUCUUCCUGGAGGGGAUCCUGAGUAACAACAUGGUGAGCACCCACUGCAUAUGGAUUCUCUACCAUCAAUUGCCUGCAAUUUACUUGCACACAUUCAUCCCAAAACCAUUAGGACUAGCAACCCUUUAUCAAAAUUUUCAAUAAGAAGCUAUACUCUAAUGCUAAUGAAAAAGAAAAUUACCAACCUUAUCAGUAAUCAGGUUCAAAACUCCACUCCUUCCAUCAGAAAUUUGUUGGCUGAUUAUGAAGAACAUAAAUGACAAGUAAAUAAGGGCUGUGAUAUAUACAUUAAAGAGGAAAAGAAACAUAUGCAUUAACAAUAAACCUGUGCUUGCUACAUCUGAGGGGUCUGAGAAAUUCAGGUAUGGUAGAUCCAGGGCGGCGAGGCUUUGGGCAGAGGGGUUGGUUAUUGCCUCGAAAGCCAAGUUUGGUUGGGUCUGAACCUGAAUCAACGAAGUUACUUUUGACUGGUAGAUGAUGCAUGGUCUCUUUCUCCCUCAUAAACAAAGUCACAGUAAGCAAACAGAGAAGUAGUAACUCUGUGGUGAGUUGUAAUCCCAGUUUUAUGAUCAUCUCUUUAGCUCUCAUUGAAAAGGUAACAAAUGAAAACUACCCAUUUAUUUAAAGAUUAGCCACACUAUUGUAA